AAUGAAUCCUUAUAUAAUGUUAUGAAGUAUGUUGGUCUUAUGUCUAAUGAUAAAUGAAGAUGUUAAGACUUGUUGAAUAUGAUGUGCCUAGUCUAUGGUGGCUUCCUAGGAACACUUGGUGUGAGUAGUAUUAUGGGAUGCUAUUUGCACAUUGCACUAGUGUGACUUGGGGGUUGUCUUAGGUGAUGGUUCCUAUGUGAAGACUAUGUCUUAUGGUGUACUUAUGACUCUAUGAAUAUAUGUGGUUGGAUUGAUGAAGGCUAUAUGUAAGUUCACC
This 277-nucleotide long non-coding RNA is filed under the name Solanum tuberosum (potato). Its description in RNAcentral is "long non-coding RNA (STUB_LNC007930)". The record is from RNAcentral. Lineage: Eukaryota; Viridiplantae; Streptophyta; Magnoliopsida; Solanales; Solanaceae.